GUUAGCAAGUGCCUUCUCAAGUGCGCACUUUCCUUCCCCAGAAAAACAAGUUAUUUUCCAAAAAAGAGAAGCUGCGUUUAUCUGACUUUCGGUAGAGAAACUCUCCACUUCUUGAUGAUUAUCCUUUUUUAUGGGAUACUUAACGUUGAGGACAAAUUGUGGUAACUUUCUCCAAACAGGAUGUGUCACGUUAAAGAUUUAGAAGAAGAGGAGACGUUUCACAGAGGAAGACAUGGACCUGGAACAACUUUGUUAAAAUGUGUUGCUGACACCAAUUCACUUGUUUUUUUAAAAGGGUACAUUUUUUUUAAACAUUUGAGAAGUUUACUGCAUUGUGAAUAGAAUGAGACUUAUCAAUGAAUUAGUUUUUUUUUAAAGAUUUGUGAUUUUACAAAUGAAACGCUUGCUUGACAUAAUUUUCUUAUGGGUUAGUUUUAAAAAGCCUUUUUUUUUUUAGCCAGUGGGCAGUCACGAUAAGAGUAGGCAUGAUAAUAUGUAAAUUCCUCCACAGGAAAGAACUUGAUGUUCUGUACAAUUAGGUGGAAAUAUAUGUGCAUAUAUUGGCAUCUGCAUCAGCGGCUGGAUGAACUGAGCAGGAAAACAGUGGCAUAUCGAGGAUCAGCUCACAAAAAAUCUAAUUUUACACAUUCUAAUUUCUGACAUGUUUAACCUCAGCUAACAAGUUUUUUUUUUAGUUCAUGUGAACAGUUGUUAACACCCACCAUGAUGCUCCUAGACAGGUGUGUUCAUCACAACAUAAAGGUUUUAGGAAUAAUUAGAGUUUGUAGAAGUAGCCCACAUUUUGUGUUGAUGGUAUCAUAUUGUGAAAAGCAGAGGGAAGUGGGGCCUGGUGGUAUUUUCUACGCGCGCGCGUGUGUGUGUGUGUGUACUUGUUUUGCCUACAGAGUGAGGAUCAUGCUAGGUUUUUAAUUAACAAAGUGAGGAUGUUUUUUCCGGUCCUCACUUUGUUUGCAGCUCUACUGUACGUUACUAGUUAGGUUUAGAGGUAUGGUGUGAA
This is a long non-coding RNA of Austrofundulus limnaeus, 1018 nucleotides long. RefSeq lists it as uncharacterized. The transcript is spliced from 3 exons. Lineage: Eukaryota; Metazoa; Chordata; Actinopteri; Cyprinodontiformes; Rivulidae. The record is from RefSeq and is a predicted model, not a curated record.